UCCCAACUGAGCCCACGAUCAUUUCCUCCUUUCCUCUCCCACACCAGAAACUGCUCUAGAUCCGGAUAAGCAGGAAGUGGCGGUGAGGCGAUUCGUCGUGAUCUCAUCCUCCAUCAUGCUGCGCUCCUACUCCUCUCCGCCAUCCAUCGCUGCUUGGGGCUGCGGCCUCCAUCCCCAUGCAGCGCCUGCUUCGAAUCUGACAUGGUGAAGCAGCCGCCCGCGCAAGCACCUUGACGGGGGAGCCGAUACUGCCAUCUGCUGCCGAAGCUGCCUCCAAACACCUGCACCCAGGGGUGUGGAGCAGCAGCCUGCCGGCGCCCGGCGGUCAAGUACCAGAUGUCGUGGGCUCCGUCCUCCAGGUGAGCCGUACGAUAGGUAUAUAUUGCGGUGAUGUGUAAAAUUUAAGAUUUAAUUAGUAUCCGUGGCUAGCAAUUCUGGUGCUUGGGGCGACAGCAGCACGACGGAUGUGCUUGUGGCGGCGGCUGCCGCCGGCAUGAUUCAUUUUCAGCAACUCAAAUCUGGUCAGUUAUCUGUAACUCUAUAAAAAAAAGCUGCCGGAGGGGUAAACGGACCCCCACCAUUUUUUAUUAAGAGGAAGAUCUGUAACUCUAUGAACCAAAAAUAAGAUGCAUAAUCAAAUUUAUGCUGAUAGGACCACGUUUUACCAUAGUAUAGUUGAUUGAUCUACAGUUCUGUAUUUUUGGAUACUAAUUUUACUUCGUUUGAACCUGCUAGUGAUUGGUUCUUUUUUGUGUUAAAUUCACCGUAUUUACUGAUCUGAUUUUAUCUUGUUGUUCAGAGUUUUUGUGCUUAAUCGAGCAAUCAGAUGAUACUAUCGUUUAAGGUGGAGAAAUAAGUCUAUGUGGCUCUCUUCAAUUAAUGUUCCUCUGGCGGGUGGUUAUUGUUUCUUUUGACUGAAAUACAAUUCCAUGCCAUCAGUUUGGAUCAGUUCGCAUAGCCUGCUGAUUAUAAAAAUGUACAAGCAUCACCAAAAGGUGCUUUUCCCAGCAUUGGUCACUGCAGCUGCUGCUGCGCUCUGAUGUUCUAGGUCUUCCUGCCCCUGCGCAAAUGUGAAACUGUUGAUGUGGAACCUCAGAAAACCAUAUAUGGAAGAGGAAGAAUGCCAAGAUCGAACUUUGAUUCUUUGGACUAGUACAUCCUUGUGAAUAGCUUCAUCACACGUGAUUUUGUACCAAUGAGAUUUAUCAAUUUAUUAGUUACGAAUACAAUUAUUGUGCCCGCAUAAUCAAAAGAGAACUAUUAUUUUUCAUCUGGAACCGGAAUGAAUGAGCUUGGCGGCCAAGAAUAAAUUAUUUCGCGGUUAUAAAUGUCUU
Molecule: long non-coding RNA, 1334 nt
Organism: Panicum virgatum (switchgrass)
Lineage: Eukaryota; Viridiplantae; Streptophyta; Magnoliopsida; Poales; Poaceae
Exons: 2
Source: RefSeq, a predicted model, not a curated record